Molecule: long non-coding RNA, 1406 nt
Organism: Heterocephalus glaber (naked mole-rat)
Lineage: Eukaryota; Metazoa; Chordata; Mammalia; Rodentia; Bathyergidae
Source: Ensembl
UCUCAGCAAAAUUUCAGGAAGCUCCAUUUCACUCUAACUGAAGUUGCCCUGAUGUGUUUGUUACUGUGGGCAUACAUGUUUCUGUUUUCAUAGCAGCUGAGGAAGACACCUCUUGGGGAAACUGCCAUGGCUUUUGACUUCUAACCUACCAAUCCAUUAGAUUCCUAAAGAAGAUUAAAGAGAUGAUAAAGAUUGAUUUGGGGGGGAAAAAAGAGAAAAAUUUCAUUGUAAGGGUUGACUUCUACAGUAUUCACAUCACAGGGGAGUAUCAGCUUAGAUGUCUGUUGUGCCAUGACGCUUGCGCCAAAGGGCAGGGGUUAUUUGUACUCUGUAGGUGUCGUGUGUUGAAGCCUCAGAGUGAUGCCCUCAAGAAGCAAUCAUGGGAUUAAACUCACCUCCAUGCAUAUUCUGAGAGCUACAAAUGCACAGUAUGAAGGCAGAAAGCAUCUAUCUUUUCUUCUGCAAGCCUGAGAAGACUCUUUUCUAAUGCCUCCAAAAUAUCUCAGCAGUACAAUACUUCAAAGUCAUCUUUUCUUGCCUCAAAUGACUCAGCAAAGGAGAAUUUUAUCAUUUUAUUAAAAAAUGGAUAGCAAAGGGGAUUGUAAAUAUAGAUGAGCUUGAGAUGAGGUGUGAGAAUCUGCUUGAGAUUUGAUUAUCACUCCAUAAUGAAUGUUUCCAGUGUUAAGAUUUUUCAUCCGUCUCAACACCUAAUGUGGGAGAAACAGCUAUGAUGUCUUGAGCAGUCCCCUGGAGAGAGCCAAGUGGUGAAUUGCAACCUCCUGCCAGCACUGGGCACCAUCUAGGCAGCCAUGGGUGUAAGCUGUAUUGGAAGUGACUCUUCCAGAUGGUUAUUAUUUUCUCCUUUAAUGUUUAAAGGAAUUCACCAGUGUAGCAGAUUGGAUUCUCUGCAACAACUGCUGAGAUGGAAUUUGAGGAUGAAAGAUGGUUAUUAUGAAUUAACAUCUGUGGAGGGAGACACAGACAGGAUUCAACUCAACUCCAAGUUACUGUGGAGCAAGCAAUGCCCAUUAGGUUUCAGUUGUUUUCAACAGAAGGGCGGGUCCAAGACCAACUCCUCCAUCAGGCAGACCAGAAGAGUUUAAAAAUUUUGGAAGUACAAAAGGCAGCAAGAAACCCAGACCACAGCUUGGAAUGUUUGGCUGUAGACCCUUUCUCAGUUCUGGAGGCUACAAGUUCUACAUCAACGUAGUAGAUUGUUCACCAGUGGCUGUCUUCUGGCUCUGUCCUCACAUAGCAGAAUGGGUACUGGGGAUUGAACUUGGGACCUUGCACUUGCGUGGCAGGCAGCAGAACCACUGAGCUAAAUCUCCAGCCCAAUGUAACCCAGGCUGGAUUGAACUUUCAACUAUCCUCUUGCUUCAGUCUCCCAAAUGCUGGGAUUACUG